Molecule: long non-coding RNA, 1100 nt
Filed under: Homo sapiens (human)
Lineage: Eukaryota; Metazoa; Chordata; Mammalia; Primates; Hominidae
Description: HSALNT0344545
Source: RNAcentral
CCCAGCUUUGAACUACCUUUGGGGAAGAUCUCACUGCACACGGGUUCUCACACAGCACACCCCGUCACACACAUGAACUCACACUGAGAACAUAUGAACACUACACACACGUUCUCACACAGCACACCCUGUCACACAUAUGAACUCACACUGAGAACACGGGCAUCACACAUAGGGACUCACGCACAGAGGACAUGUGAACACUACACACAUGUUCUCACACAGCACACGCCCCGUCACACCCAUGAACUCACACCGAGAACACAACAUCACACACAGGGACUCACGCACAGAGGACAUGUGAACACUACACACACGUUCUCACACAGCACACCCCGUCACACCCAUGAACUCACACCGAGAACACAUCACACACAGGGACUCACGCACAGAGGACAUGUGAACACUACACACACGUUCUCACACAGCACACACCCCGUCACACCCACACCCCCACAUGCGUAGACACACACAUCCUUACUCUGCGUGCAUCCCUGGCCUGGUGGACGGAAGAUCGAGCGCUCUGGGUGGACUUACGGCCACAGGACGGGGGCAGAGUCGGCAGGGAGGCCCCUCCGAGGCCCAGUGGGCCCCGCGCUGGCCCCGGCCGCAGACGCCCACCUGCUGCUGUGCUGGCUGCGGCGUGUGCCCCGGGCUCUGCGGCUGACCUGGCCUCCACGUCUCACCCAUGAAGCAGGCAUGAAAGGCUGGCCAGGUUGGCUAAAUGGGACCACAGCAGAAGCAUGAGCCCCAGAAUGUGCACGAAGGAAGAGAGAGCCGGGGGAGGUGGCGGGCUGGGUGUGCAGAGUGGGCCUGAGCUCCGGCCUCCUCCCUGGACGCCCUCCCGUGGCCGCAGCCAUCCCUGCACCCACUGGUGUGGCCUGACCCCUCACCCUGAGCCCACCCUUCGCGGCCACUAGGGAACCUCAGGAGAGGCCGCCGCGGUGGGGUGGGCGGAUUCCCCCGGAGCAGGCCCAGGCCCCUGCUCCUGAGCUCUCCUGCAGCGCCGCCUGCUGGCCACAGAGAGCCCACGUGCGCCAGCCGCCAGGCCUGGGCAUCUCCUCUCCUGCAGCGCCGCCUGCUGGCCACAGAGAACCCGC